GUGGUAAUGCCGGAUGCUCCAGUUGAUCGCAUGGUCUUCUGGGAAAGCUUUCGCGGUAUGGGAUGGGGUCGCGUCCUAUCAGCUUGACGGCGGGGUAACGGCCCACCGUGGCUUCGACGGGUAGCCGGCCUGAGAGGGCGACCGGCCACAUUGGGACUGAGAUACGGCCCAGACUCCUACGGGAGGCAGCAGUGGGGAAUAUUGCACAAUGGGCGAAAGCCUGAUGCAGCGACGCCGCGUGAGGGAUGGAGGCCUUCGGGUUGUAAACCUCUUUUAUCGGGGAGCAAGCGAGAGUGAGUUUACCCGUUGAAUAAGCACCGGCUAACUACGUGCCAGCAGCCGCGGUAAUACGUAGGGUGCAAGCGUUAUCCGGAAUUAUUGGGCGUAAAGGGCUCGUAGGCGGUUCGUCGCGUCCGGUGUGAAAGUCCAUCGCUUAACGGUGGAUCCGCGCCGGGUACGGGCGGGCUUGAGUGCGGUAGGGGAGACUGGAAUUCCCGGUGUAACGGUGGAAUGUGUAGAUAUCGG
This 525-nucleotide ribosomal RNA is filed under the name Bifidobacterium longum subsp. suillum. RNAcentral describes it as "bacterial SSU rRNA". It matches the Rfam family "Bacterial small subunit ribosomal RNA", at positions 160 to 700 of the family's 1533-position model. Lineage: Bacteria; Bacillati; Actinomycetota; Actinomycetes; Bifidobacteriales; Bifidobacteriaceae. The record is from RNAcentral.